RNAcentral lists this ribosomal RNA (842 nucleotides) under Alteromonas macleodii. Its description in RNAcentral is "bacterial SSU rRNA". It matches the Rfam family "Bacterial small subunit ribosomal RNA", at positions 88 to 928 of the family's 1533-position model. Lineage: Bacteria; Pseudomonadati; Pseudomonadota; Gammaproteobacteria; Alteromonadales; Alteromonadaceae. The record is from RNAcentral.
AUGACGAGUGGCGGACGGGUGAGUAAUGCUUGGGAACUUGCCUUUGCGAGGGGGAUAACAGUUGGAAACGACUGCUAAUACCGCAUAAUGUCUUCGGACCAAACGGGGCUUCGGCUCCGGCGCAAAGAGAGGCCCAAGUGAGAUUAGCUAGUUGGUAAGGUAACGGCUUACCAAGGCGACGAUCUCUAGCUGUUCUGAGAGGAAGAUCAGCCACACUGGGACUGAGACACGGCCCAGACUCCUACGGGAGGCAGCAGUGGGGAAUAUUGCACAAUGGGGGAAACCCUGAUGCAGCCAUGCCGCGUGUGUGAAGAAGGCCUUCGGGUUGUAAAGCACUUUCAGUUGUGAGGAAAAGUUAGUAGUUAAUACCUGCUAGCCGUGACGUUAACAACAGAAGAAGCACCGGCUAACUCCGUGCCAGCAGCCGCGGUAAUACGGAGGGUGCGAGCGUUAAUCGGAAUUACUGGGCGUAAAGCGCACGCAGGCGGUUUGUUAAGCUAGAUGUGAAAGCCCCGGGCUCAACCUGGGAUGGUCAUUUAGAACUGGCAGACUAGAGUCUUGGAGAGGGGAGUGGAAUUCCAGGUGUAGCGGUGAAAUGCGUAGAUAUCUGGAGGAACAUCAGUGGCGAAGGCGACUCCCUGGCCAAAGACUGACGCUCAUGUGCGAAAGUGUGGGUAGCGAACAGGAUUAGAUACCCUGGUAGUCCACACCGUAAACGCUGUCUACUAGCUGUGUGUGUCUUUAAGACGUGCGUAGCGAAGCUAACGCGCUAAGUAGACCGCCUGGGGGGAGUACGGCCGCAAGGUUAAAAACUCAAAUGAAUUGACGGGGGCCCGCCACAA